GGCUCGGAACUCCUUUCCCGGACGCGGAGCGGGAGCUCUCCCGACGCUGCCCGAGCCGCUGCAGGAAGAGCCAUUCUCCGUCCCUGGAAGGCCGUGGUGCAGCUCGCCAGAAUCCGUGUUCAGGGGUUUAUGUGGGAAUCAGAGCAGAAUGGAUCGGUAUCGAUAUUUCAUCUUUAACCAGAGGAACAUGGUCGUUCUGGGGAUGUUCCAGAUUGCCUUCAGCACCGUCUGUGUCACCAGUGGGUUCAUAGAUGGCAUUUUCAGAACAGAGUCUCAGCUGGGCAAAACCAGAGCUCCAAUUUGGGCUGGCAUGGUGAUGGGUGUCCCAGGCGUCCUGGCUUUGUUCUCCUCGCAGAGGAAGAAUCCAGUUCUUGUGAAUGUACUGAUAGUUGCUUCCAUAGUCUCUUGUGUUGCCAUCUUCAUUGUAAUAGUUUAUAGCUCCUUGACACUGAGCUAUGGUGAAGAGGAGGAGCUGAGUUCUGCCCCAGUCCAUGUUAUCCAUACUAGGUUCAUACUCAGUAAAGUUGUCAAGGGUGCUAACAUAGCCAUGCUGGCUGUGUCCAUCUGCAGUGCCUGUUCCGUGCUGGCCAUGGCUUACCUGGGAUGCCGGAGCCUUCCCUGCUGCUCCUGCUAUGACAGUGUGACUGGGAUGGAAUGGUUGCAGCCUAGUGAGGACCAAAAUCAGGCUGUGGAAAUGAUUUGUGCUGUACAAAGCCCUGGGGGGAGAAUUUUUAAUUUCACAGAUCGGUUUCCAGCCCAGGAUGUAGAUGCAGAAGAAGACACAUCCAAACCUCCACCAUAUAUCAGAAUGACUUGAAAAAGUGGCCGACCAUUGUGUUCAAAUGUGGCAAGAGAGAUGCAAUAAGUUCUUAAUCUUUAAAGACGGUUAUGCACUUUUCCUUGGCCCUUUGAAAAACACAUGCAGAGCAAACUAGCGAAUGCCCAGCACUGAGCAGAGAUCACAGUGCAGAGGGAAAGAUCUGCAGGAUCACAGAACCACAGACUUCUUUAUGUUGGAAAGGACCUUUAAUACAUUGAGUCCAACCACUGAUCCUUAUCAGUCCCUUCCAAACUGAGAUAUGAUUCCAUGAUUCUCCAGCACCAACAGUGUUUCUUCACCCAUAAAGCCUGAGAGCUGGAGCCUUAAAGCAGAUGCUAGAGCUGGAAUCCCACCAGUGUCAGGUGGGAGGCUGUGCAGAGCCCAGCGAAUCCCAGAACACCCCUGGAAAACAGCAGCCAUUCUUCCUCUCUCAAUGCCUCCUCACAGCCCUCACUGAUGAUGCCAUUCAGCUGGAUAAAUGAGGCCUCCUUUGGGCACCCUGCAUCAACAGAGGAAGGAGAAAAAAUCCCACAUCCUCAGAGACAUCCUCAGAACAGUGAGCAGAAAUUGGUCAUGCUUCAAUCAAGCAGAGAUCUGCAAGUGUACUGCCAGCCUUGGGUAAAGAUGGGGAAAUUAAAUUAAAGGUUUACA
Molecule: RNA transcript, 1471 nt
Organism: Vidua macroura (Pin-tailed whydah)
Lineage: Eukaryota; Metazoa; Chordata; Aves; Passeriformes; Viduidae
Exons: 11
Source: RefSeq, a predicted model, not a curated record